This 844-nucleotide long non-coding RNA is filed under the name Olea europaea subsp. europaea. The record is from RNAcentral. Lineage: Eukaryota; Viridiplantae; Streptophyta; Magnoliopsida; Lamiales; Oleaceae.
UUAAUACAAUAUAAUUAAUAUAGUUUGAAAUAUAAUUUUUUUAAUAAACUCUCUAUUAGAUAAUGAUUUAAAUAGUAGUAAUUCACAUUUAUUAAUAACAAUGUACAUUAAAUAUGGGUAUAUUAGAGAAUAAAAAAAAUAACUAUACCGUCAACAAGAAAAUUAACCUAUAAUUUGGGACGGAUGAGAAGGUAAAAUAAUAAUAAUAAUAAUAAAAUAAAAUUGAAAGAAGCAAACCAGAGGAAGUAAAAUAGUAAAUAGUAAGACAAGAUGUCCUCUUUCCUUUGGUAUCUAUUUCCUCUUUCACCAUUGAGAAUGUGGGUCUCAUUUACUUUCACAUAUCUUAAAAUGACAGUAAAUUAAGCUACCGUUCGACAAUCAUUCAAAGUGUUUUUUCUUUUUUCUUUUCUAAAGGAAAUUGAGUUUUAAAAUAGUAAGACCCUGUUUGGAUUGUAUUUGAGUUUUUAGUUCUAUUCCAGAAUCGUCGUUUAAUAUCCAAAGGUAAAAGCGGCAGUCUAGGUAAUGUAUUUGGGGAGGGACUUUCGCUGACUGAAUCCAUCCAUAAACCUACUAUUCUAUCACUCCUCGCCCGGCAUUUACUUGAGAGAAGCAAAUCGAUUAGAAGCUAAAGGACAAUCAAAGUUAGAUAGUUUACGAAGUCCCCUCACCAGCAUUUUCACUUUUCAAGUUUGAGACACUUUUUUUAAAAUUGCUAAAAAUGUGUUUUGAUUUGUCAUUUUCAAUUUUUUUUCUCAAAAUAGAAAACUAGAAAAUGCAAUUAGUUUGAAAUAAAAAAAUUAUUUCAUGAUAUUUUAUUCUAUGAAAUUUGAUUAUUCAAUAAAAA